GCAGAGUUUGGAUCUGGCUCAGGACGAACGCUGGCGGCGUGCCUAAUACAUGCAAGUCGAGCGGACAGAUGGGAGCUUGCUCCCUGAUGUUAGCGGCGGACGGGUGAGUAACACGUGGGUAACCUGCCUGUAAGACUGGGAUAACUCCGGGAAACCGGGGCUAAUACCGGAUGCUUGUUUGAACCGCAUGGUUCAAACAUAAAAGGUGGCUUCGGCUACCACUUACAGAUGGACCCGCGGCGCAUUAGCUAGUUGGUGAGGUAAUGGCUCACCAAGGCAACGAUGCGUAGCCGACCUGAGAGGGUGAUCGGCCACACUGGGACUGAGACACGGCCCAGACUCCUACGGGAGGCAGCAGUAGGGAAUCUUCCGCAAUGGACGAAAGUCUGACGGAGCAACGCCGCGUGAGUGAUGAAGGUUUUCGGAUCGUAAAGCUCUGUUGUUAGGGAAGAACAAGUACCGUUCGAAUAGGGCGGUACCUUGACGGUACCUAACCAGAAAGCCACGGCUAACUACGUGCCAGCAGCCGCGGUAAUACGUAGGUGGCAAGCGUUGUCCGGAAUUAUUGGGCGUAAAGGGCUCGCAGGCGGUUCCUUAAGUCUGAUGUGAAAGCCCCCGGCUCAACCGGGGAGGGUCAUUGGAAACUGGGGAACUUGAGUGCAGAAGAGGAGAGUGGAAUUCCACGUGUAGCGGUGAAAUGCGUAGAGAUGUGGAGGAACACCAGUGGCGAAGGCGACUCUCUGGUCUGUAACUGACGCUGAGGAGCGAAAGCGUGGGGAGCGAACAGGAUUAGAUACCCUGGUAGUCCACGCCGUAAACGAUGAGUGCUAAGUGUUAGGGGGUUUCCGCCCCUUAGUGCUGCAGCUAACGCAUUAAGCACUCCGCCUGGGGAGUACGGUCGCAAGACUGAAACUCAAAGGAAUUGACGGGGGCCCGCACACGGGACAUGUGGUUUAUUCGAAGCAACGCGAAGAACCUUACCAGGUCUUGACAUCCUCUGACAAUCCUAGAGAUAGGACGUCCCCUUCGGGGGCAGAGUGACAGGUGGUGCAUGGUUGUCGUCAGCUCGUGUCGUGAGAUGUUGGGUUAAGUCCCGCAACGAGCGCAACCCUUGAUCUUAGUUGCCAGCAUUCAGUUGGGCACUCUAAGGUGACUGCCGGUGACAAACCGGAGGAAGGUGGGGAUGACGUCAAAUCAUCAUGCCCCUUAUGACCUGGGCUACACACGUGCUACAAUGGACAGAACAAAGGGCAGCGAAACCGCGAGGUUAAGCCAAUCCCACAAAUCUGUUCUCAGUUCGGAUCGCAGUCUGCAACUCGACUGCGUGAAGCUGGAAUCGCUAGUAAUCGCGGAUCAGCAUGCCGCGGUGAAUACGUUCCCGGGCCUUGUACACACCGCCCGUCACACCACGAGAGUUUGUAACACCCGAAGUCGGUGAGGUAACCUUUAUGGAGCCAGCCGCCGAAGGUGGGACAGAUGAUUGGGGUGAAGUCGUAACAAGUUAACCGUAA
Molecule: ribosomal RNA, 1511 nt
Filed under: Bacillus halotolerans
Lineage: Bacteria; Bacillati; Bacillota; Bacilli; Caryophanales; Bacillaceae
Description: bacterial SSU rRNA
Rfam family: Bacterial small subunit ribosomal RNA
Source: RNAcentral